GUAGAUUUUUCUGGGCAAGUACUUCCUGUGCAAACGGUAAGAGAGCGGUGUCGGCCGUGAAGCCGGAGACAGGCGUGUCCAUGCCGUUUGCGUCGCGGUCUUCGACAUAGAUAUCCGCAUCAGGAGGGAGUGUGUCGUCGAAGCCAGCAUCGGAAAUCAGUUCAUAGUAGUUGGGGGAUACGGGGAACUCGUACUUGAGACCGUGUGGGUCGUCAUCGACGCGGGUUAGCUCGCACGGAGUCUGUCCGGCAGGCGCGAUGUAUUUUUCCCCAGCCCUGUCCAGCAUCCCGUAUUGAGAGUGUUGCACCAGUUUCCAUUCCGGCUCUUCCACAGCAACAGAUCCCAAGAUAAACCGAGGUUCUGUCUUCUGUCGUGGGCGGAACGGGGAGGAGCGUGGAGUAUUUAGUGGCGAGGAAUCGUUGGCACUGGCUGAGUCGUUUGCACGCGACGAGCGUGCGGCCGCAUCAGCAGAGUCGUCCGGGUUGGAGCCAGUUGUAGAGUCCGUGCGUCCUGUCGUAGACGGGGCAGUGCCACUCCUGUUCGUGGUGCGUGCACGUGACGCAGGGGUGUCCGACCCAUUUUGUGGCUUGCGAAGGGAUGGCGGCGUAGUCCGAUUAAAACGUGCCGUACGGUGUUGCACGAAGCAUGGUUUCUCGUCCUGGUUGUCCGGGUCAAAGUAGAUUUCUCUAACUGCCUCACGAUCAGAGAUCUUGAGCACGGGUGGACACUCUGUACGAUUGAAGUAUACAGUACGAUCGCGGGAAUUGAUUUGACCAUGUACUUGCGUGGGCGUGAUCAUGACUGGUCUCUCGCCGAGAGCCACAAAGUAGUCGUAGAUAACCGGGUCCGAGGCACUGAGGGGUAGACGACGUAAGUCGACGUAGUAGAGCUUGUCAUACUUUGAGUACUUGCGGAUUGUCACGAGGGAGCCACAGACCAUGAGCUGGGUAUUGCCCAGAAGGGCUUGCGCCUCUUCCGAUACGCAGACAAAGGAGAUACCAUGACCAGCAUAGCACUGGAAGUCCCGUAGGUGUUGUAGUUGCGCAGUCCAGAUGGCCGGUUGGCUAGCAGCGGCGAGCGAAGCCAUGAUCUCCGCCUGUCCGUGUUCACGAGUCAGGCGUGAUGCGGGAAUCCACAUCUGGACAUAGUGCUUGGCGGCGACGGGAGUUGGCACUGUCGCAAGGGCAGCUGCCUUGAGGUCGGACUCCGCCGUAGAGGCGGAGCUGAAGAGUUCCAGGCUGGCUUCAAAUUGGGUGUCGGUCGGUCGUGACCGAGGUGCAGGGCCAUCACGGCGCGGGGGUGCCGUACGCGCGGCCCCACGGGGCGUUGAGCGCUGAGGCGAGCGUUGUUGGUACUCACGUGUAGUAGCAGCCAUAGCCAGUGCUUGUAAGAAGUGAGGGGCGGAUGCUACGUCUCUAGUGUCGAAUGACACCUAAGCAACACCAGUCGAAAGGUACCUCAAUACCCGGACACGGUGAAGUGCAGCCUACAAUGUAUUGUCUGUUUCCACUCCGCGUAGAUUCAAACUUUCAGCGGCCCACGACCAGUCCGUCCUAGCGUCCUGGUAAGUGUGAACCGCUCUACAAAGCAGUUGGGGCAAACCUCAGUCGAUACCUUUCGGAAAAGACUUAGCGCACAGACUCUAGUCACGUAGCAGGACUGGGCCGUCAGUCAGAGACUUCAGACGCUUUCUGUCUACAGCGACACACGAGCUCGGAAGCAAAGGCGUAGGUAGCAGCCCACGGAGUACAGCGGCGACGAUGCGGGGUGGCAGCGGCAGCGCUCUAAGGAGAGGCUGGUAACGGUAACAGCAGCGACGGCGGGGAACUGGCGCAGUAGGUGACAGCGAUCCGCGAAGGUAGCUGACAACGACAACAACAGCGAGUGCGGGGCGGCGGCAGCAGAGCUUGCACGAGGAAGCACUGGAGUCAGCAGCGGCGGCGAGGAGCUUGGGCGGCGGCGGCAGCACUCCGUGAAGAGGGCUUGGCGGCGGCGGGAGCGAAGUCUUCUGUGCGAAGACGGGGCAGGUCGAAGGCGAUGUGCGCUCGACAGGGAAAAAUCCGGAAUGGGGGCGGGGAGUUUGGCUGGGGCGGCACAUCUGUUAAAUGAUAACACAGGUGUCCUAAGGUGAGCUCAAUGAGAACAGAAAUCUCAUGUAGAACAAAAGGGUAAAAGCUCACUUGAUUUUGAUUUUCAGUAUGAAUACAAACCGUGAAAGCGUGGCCUAUCGAUCCUUUAGUUCUUUCGAAUUUUAAGCUAGAGGUGUCAGAAAAGUUACCACAGGGAUAACUGGCUUGUGGCAGCCAAGCGUCCAUAGCGACGUUGCUUUUUGAUUCUUCGAUGUCGGCUCUUCCUAUCAUUGCGAAGUAGAACUCGCCAAUUGUUGGAUUGUUCACCCACUAAUAGGGAACGUGAGCUGGGUUUAGACCGUCGUGAGACAGGUUAGUUUUACCCUACUGAUGAGUUCGUUGUCUAAACAGUAAUCCAACCCAGUACGAGAGGAACCGUUGGUUCAGAUAAUUGGUAACUGCGGUUAGCUGAAAAGCUAGUGCCGCCAAGCUACCAUCUGUAGGAU
Molecule: ribosomal RNA, 2575 nt
Filed under: Phytophthora megakarya
Lineage: Eukaryota; Oomycota; Peronosporomycetes; Peronosporales; Peronosporaceae
Description: eukaryotic LSU rRNA
Rfam family: Eukaryotic large subunit ribosomal RNA (bases 1987-2575)
Source: RNAcentral